RNAcentral lists this ribosomal RNA (315 nucleotides) under uncultured bacterium. Its description in RNAcentral is "bacterial SSU rRNA". It matches the Rfam family "Bacterial small subunit ribosomal RNA", at positions 32 to 325 of the family's 1533-position model. The record is from RNAcentral.
AAUCAACGCUGGCGGCGUGCCUAACACAUGCAAGUCGAACGAGAAAGUGACUUCGGUCACUGGACAGUGGCGUCCGGGUGAGUAACACGUGGGUAAUCUACCUUCGGGUGGGGAAUAACGUCUCGAAAGAGACGCUAAUACCGCAUAAUGCAGCGGCACCUUAUGGUGAAUAGUUGUUAAAAGCGGGGGAGUCGCAAGACCUCGCGCCUGAAGAGGAGCCUGCGGCAGAUUAGCUAGUUGGUGAGGUAAUGGCUCACCAAGGCUGCGAUCUGUAGCUGGUCUGAGAGGACGGCCAGCCACACUGGGCACUGACAC